GUCGAACGAGAACGGGUCUUAGCUUGCUAAGAUUGUCAGCUAAGUGGCGCACGGGACGAGGAAUAUAUAGGUAACGUGCCUUCGAGAAGGGGAUAACGUUUGGAAACGAACGCUAAUACCCUAUAUGCCUUUAAGUCUUAAGACUGCAAGGGAAAUAUUUAUAGCUCGAAGAUCGGCCUGUACGGUAUCAGUUAGUUGGUGAGGUAAUGGCUCACCAAGACAAUGACGCCUAACUGGUUUGAGAGGAUGAUCAGUCACACUGGAACUGAGACACGGUCCAGACUCCUACGGGAGGCAGCAGUGGGGAAUAUUGCACAAUGGACGAAAGUCUGAUGCAGCAACGCCGCGUGGAGGAUGACACAUUUCUGUGCGUAAACUCCUUUUAUAUAGGAAGAUAAUGACGGUACUAUAUGAAUAAGCACCGGCUAACUCCGUGCCAGCAGCCGCGGUAAUACGGAGGGUGCAAGCGUUACUCGGAAUCACUGGGCGUAAAGAGAAUGUAGGCGGGUAGAUAAGUUUGAAGUGAAAUCCAAUGGCUCAACCAUUGAACUGCUUUGAAAACUGUUUACCUAGAAUAUGGGAGAGGUAGAUGGAAUUUCUGGUGUAGGUGUAAAAUCCGUAGAGAUCAGAAGGAAUACCGAUUGCGAAGGCGAUCUACUGGAACAUUA
This 668-nucleotide ribosomal RNA is filed under the name uncultured Arcobacter sp. Its description in RNAcentral is "bacterial SSU rRNA". It matches the Rfam family "Bacterial small subunit ribosomal RNA", at positions 61 to 739 of the family's 1533-position model. Lineage: Bacteria; Pseudomonadati; Campylobacterota; Epsilonproteobacteria; Campylobacterales; Arcobacteraceae. The record is from RNAcentral.